Molecule: ribosomal RNA, 595 nt
Filed under: Bacillus sp. FJAT-4486
Lineage: Bacteria; Bacillati; Bacillota; Bacilli; Caryophanales; Bacillaceae
Description: bacterial SSU rRNA
Rfam family: Bacterial small subunit ribosomal RNA
Source: RNAcentral
CAAGUCGAGCGGGGUUAUUUAGAAGCUUGCUUCUACAUAACCUAGCGGCGGACGGGUGAGUAACACGUAGGCAACCUGCCCACAAGACAGGGAUAACUACCGGAAACGGUAGCUAAUACCCGAUACAUCCUUUUCCUGCAUGGGAGAAGGAGGAAAGGCGGAGCAAUCUGUCACUUGUGGAUGGGCCUGCGGCGCAUUAGCUAGUUGGUGGGGUAAUGGCCUACCAAGGCGACGAUGCGUAGCCGACCUGAGAGGGUGAUCGGCCACACUGGGACUGAGACACGGCCCAGACUCCUACGGGAGGCAGCAGUAGGGAAUCUUCCGCAAUGGGCGAAAGCCUGACGGAGCAACGCCGCGUGAGUGAUGAAGGUUUUCGGAUCGUAAAGCUCUGUUGCCAGGGAAGAACGUCUUGUAGAGUAACUGCUACAAGAGUGACGGUACCUGAGAAGAAAGCCCCGGCUAACUACGUGCCAGCAGCCGCGGUAAUACGUAGGGGGCAAGCGUUGUCCGGAAUUAUUGGGCGUAAAGCGCGCGCAGGCGGCUCUUUAAGUCUGGUGUUUAAUCCCGAGGCUCAACUUCGGGUCGCACUGGAAAC